RNAcentral lists this ribosomal RNA (108 nucleotides) under uncultured archaeon. Its description in RNAcentral is "partial 16S ribosomal RNA". The record is from RNAcentral.
CUCCCCCGUUGCUGACCCCAGGUUCGAUAGCGCCAAUUAGGCGCCACCUCGCCAAGAACCAACUUCGGUGAAGCGACGGGCGGUGUGUACAAGGCCCGGGAACGUAUU